GAUAAACGCUGGCGGCGCACAUAAGACAUGCAAGUCGAACGAACUUAACUCAUUCAUUACGAUUGAGAGCGGUUAGUGGCGGACUGGUGAGUAACACGUAAGCAACCUGCCUGUUAGAGGGGAACAACAGUUAGAAAUGACUGCUAAUACCGCAUAUGCCUUAACUAUCGCAUGAUAGAAGAGGGAAAGGAGCAAUCCGCUGACAGAUGGGCUUGCGUCUGAUUAGAUAGUUGGUGGGGUAAAGGCCUACCAAGUCGACGAUCAGUAGCCGGACUGAGAGGUUGAACGGCCACAUUGGGACUGAGAUACGGCCCAG
This 316-nucleotide ribosomal RNA is filed under the name uncultured bacterium. Its description in RNAcentral is "bacterial SSU rRNA". It matches the Rfam family "Bacterial small subunit ribosomal RNA", at positions 28 to 334 of the family's 1533-position model. The record is from RNAcentral.